GCGUACUUAGCUCAAUGGUCAGAGCAUCACUCAUGAAUGCUUAGGUUGUGUGUUUGACUCUGAGUCCCACAGUACACA
RNAcentral lists this transfer RNA (78 nucleotides) under Puccinia graminis f. sp. tritici CRL 75-36-700-3. Its description in RNAcentral is "tRNA-Und (NNN) (tRNA-Und-NNN-34-1)". Lineage: Eukaryota; Fungi; Basidiomycota; Pucciniomycetes; Pucciniales; Pucciniaceae. The record is from RNAcentral.